Molecule: ribosomal RNA, 463 nt
Filed under: uncultured bacterium
Lineage: Bacteria
Description: partial 16S ribosomal RNA
Rfam family: Bacterial small subunit ribosomal RNA
Source: RNAcentral
GAUGAACGCUGACAGAAUGCUUAACACAUGCAAGUCGAUGGGGAAGUGGUGCUUGCACCAUGGCAACCAUGGCGGACGGGUGAGUAACGCGUAAGGGACUUACCUGCAGGACUGGGAUAACAGGGGGAAACUCCUGACAAGACCGGAUAAUGUCAUGGAGCUGCAUGGCUUUAUGAUGAAAGGAGACGCCUGCGGAGAGCCUUGCGUCCUAUUAGCUAGUUGGUGAGGUAAUGGCUCACCAAGGCGAAGAUAGGUAGCCGGCCUGAGAGGGUGGACGGCCACAAGGGGACUGAGAUACGGCACUUACUACUACGGGAGGCAGCAGUGGGGAAUAUUGGAGAAUGGGGGCAACACUGAUCAAGCAAUUCUGUGUGCACGAAGAAGGUUUUCGGAUUGUAAAGUGCUUUCAGCAGGGAAGAAGUAAGUGACGGUACCUGCAGAAGAAGCGACGGCUAACUACGUG